UAGGGAAGUCUUCCACAAUGGGCGAAAGCCUGAUGGAGCAACGCCGCGUGUGUGAUGAAGGCUUUCGGGUCGUAAAGCACUGUUGUAUGGGAAGAACAGCUAGAAUAGGAAAUGAUUUUAGUUUGACGGUACCAUACCAGAAAGGGACGGCUAAAUACGUGCCAG
RNAcentral lists this ribosomal RNA (165 nucleotides) under uncultured bacterium. RNAcentral's name for it is "partial 16S ribosomal RNA". It matches the Rfam family "Bacterial small subunit ribosomal RNA", at positions 355 to 511 of the family's 1533-position model. The record is from RNAcentral.